AUUGAACGCUGGCGGCAGGCCUAACACAUGCAAGUCGAGCGGAUGAAGGGAGCUUGCUCCUUGAUUCAGCGGCGGACGGGUGAGUAAUGCCUAGGAAUCUGCCUGGUAGUGGGGGAUAACGUCCGUAAACGGGCGCUAAUACCGCAUACGUCCUUAGUGAGAAAGUGGGGGAUCUUCGGACCUCACGCUAUCAGAUGAGCCUAGGUCGGAUUAGCUAGUUGGUGGGGUAAAGGCCUACCAAGGCGACGAUCCGUAACUGGUCUGAGAGGAUGAUCAGUCACACUGGAACUGAGACACGGUCCAGACUCCUACGGGAGGCAGCAGUGGGGAAUAUUGGACAAUGGGCGAAAGCCUGAUCCAGCCAUGCCGCGUGUGUGAAGAAGGUCUUCGGAUUGUAAAGCACUUUAAGUUGGGAGGAAGGGAAGUAAGUUAAUACCUUGCUGUUUUGACGUUACCAACAGAAUAAGCACCGGCUAACUUCGUG
Molecule: ribosomal RNA, 484 nt
Filed under: uncultured bacterium
Lineage: Bacteria
Description: partial 16S ribosomal RNA
Rfam family: Bacterial small subunit ribosomal RNA
Source: RNAcentral